CCCCACCCCCACCCACCUCCUCAUGUCCCGCCACGUUAGUACGCAUGCGCUCAGCAAUCGCGGCCUGUGGGCCGUGCAGUUUCUAGUGGACCCGCAGCGUGGACCCGCCCGAGCUCUAAGGGGAAGUGAAGAUGGUGGACCAGAGCCCCAAGAAAGGACACCUGCCCACAAAAAGACACCUGUCCUGAGGCCUUGGGUGCUGCUAUGCCCGAUCAUGGUGGCUGGGAGAAAGGAUCUGAGGGGUCAGAAGGUGGAGACAACAGCAGGGAGCCAUCAUUGACCAUGGAAGACGUGGACCUCAUGCUUGAGAAGAGAGGCCCAGCCCUUCCCCUGGACAGGCCUAUGGCGGCAGUGGCGGAGGAAGAGGAGGAGGAGGAGGAGGAAGAAAAGGCCUCCGGGCUCCUGGCAGCCAGCUUGCAGGUGAGCACUACUUCCAUCCCCUCUCACAUCCCUUCACGUGAAUGCGUUUCUUUCCCUUGUCUUAA
RNAcentral lists this long non-coding RNA (485 nucleotides) under Vombatus ursinus (common wombat). RNAcentral's name for it is "lncRNA (ENSVURG00010002956.1)". Lineage: Eukaryota; Metazoa; Chordata; Mammalia; Diprotodontia; Vombatidae. The record is from RNAcentral.